GCCAUCUUAGCUCAGUCGGUAGAGCAUCUCCCUCGUAAAGAGAAGGUCGCUGGUUCGAUUCCAGUAGAUGGCA
Molecule: transfer RNA, 73 nt
Rfam family: tRNA
About the family: Transfer RNA (tRNA) molecules are approximately 80 nucleotides in length.
Source: Rfam